Zootermopsis nevadensis is the source of this 1531-nucleotide long non-coding RNA. RefSeq lists it as uncharacterized. Lineage: Eukaryota; Metazoa; Arthropoda; Insecta; Blattodea; Termopsidae. The record is from RefSeq and is a predicted model, not a curated record.
AAUACAAAUAACCACACCCGAUGGGUGUCUCCAGUAAUAUGGUCUAUUCAAGAUGUGUAUGGACAGGCAUCAAUAAAAACUCGUCAGGGAGCGAUAUCAUAUUGGCCUCGGAUUGGUCUUGGGCCGGGGACGCUUUAAUCUGAACACAUGUGAGCUCAUAUGAGCACGGAUAAAAGCAGGUCAUUUGUCUAUCUUUGUUCCUCGUAUGGUGCACUUCCGCUCCAUACACAUCUUGAACAGAGCAUAAUUCUGGACCACCUGUUUUAUCAUGCUUGAGAGUUAGGUAGUCAAUACGACACGUACUUCGCAUUAGUAACGUAUUUUAAGAAUACGGGAGAAAUCACAGCGUACCAGCGUUUCGGAUGAACACACUGCUUCCAUCUUUAGAUUCGCACAGACGGACAUGAUAAGCGAUAACGUCAUCAGUCGUCCUGUAAAAUCAUGGGUAAUGACGUCAUGGCGGAGGAUCAUAACCACAUCUCAGAAGUUGAGCAUCCGUCACAUCUGCUGUUGCCAACACUGAAAAAGCAAAAUCAACCCCAUCGAAAGAUAUGUUUAAAAAGAGUAUUGAACUUUCUUAAUCAUGCUUUUGCGUACUGAUAAAGUCCACAUAUUUUAGAUGAAAUAAUAACUGAAAGAUGUAGGGGUUUUGACGCAUGUAAUGGAACCAAUUAACUAAUAGAACUACGAAUAAUAUGACGGUGACAGUUGUGUUAAAGUUGGUGGCGCUUGACUAGAAUUCGGUUUCAGAAAUAAACGUCGUGGUUAGUGCGCUCGCCACUGGACCAAAGGUUCUCGGGUUCAAAGCCGUCCAAGGUCGAUGGAUUCUUAAGGGUGAUAAAAAUCGGUAGCACAACUUCCUUCGGAGGGGAAGUAAAGCCGGCGGUCCCUUGUCACAGAUUUACGAGCAUGAGCGACAUGUUUCGUAAGCAAAAUUCAGCGGCCAUUUCUCAUCAAUGUCUCUCCUGAUUCUCUGCUAGAUGGCUCUGGCAGAAACCUUAGAAUGGAGGAUACGAAGACCCAGACGGAGUUGUAGAACCAAGGAAGAAGAAGAAAAUAUUGAUAAUAGUCUAAGUUAACAGUACUACUCUGUCCACGAAAAUAUAUUAUAAAGCAUUCGAAAAAGGAAACAAAUUGCCGACGAAUUUGACAGUCAUUAAGCAGGUUCAAGGAACCUCCUGCAGACACUAAUUCAAAGCAGCCCCGAGGAUGCUGUCAGGCUCUUCCUCUGCCACACCCACUCCACCAGCCGAGCCGCAAACGAGGUUGAACGGCCAGCAGAAGAUUGCGCCCUCCCGCCGCGACGAAACCCGACGACCUGCUUCAAGUGCAGAAACUCAAGACGCAAAAAUGAGCGGCAAUGCGGCAGAAAUUUUGAAAGCACCGCUCUUUCAUUUUCAGGAAAGUAAUUAUCAAAUCAAAGAGAACGAGAUUUCGGGGCAUGUAGCAUGCAUUGGGAAGAUAAACCUAUACACAGAGUUGGUCUGAAAAUGUGAAUUAAAGAGAUCACUUGCGAGAACAAGGCAUAGAU